This is a long non-coding RNA of Felis catus (domestic cat), 1232 nucleotides long. RefSeq lists it as uncharacterized. The transcript is spliced from 4 exons. NCBI's taxonomy places the organism in Eukaryota, Metazoa, Chordata, Mammalia, Carnivora, Felidae. The record is from RefSeq and is a predicted model, not a curated record.
GGGCAGAGGCCGGGGCCUGGGACCGACUGGGACCGAGCUGCCCCGGAAGGGACCGAGGGGUCUCCAGCUCCGCCGCGCUCAUGGGACGCACUCUGGGGUCCGGUGGGAAGGCAGAGGUCCAUCCCGAUGACGCCAUCGGCCCCGUCCUUGAUCGCCCUCGCUCCUCGCUCCCGCCCAACCAACCUAUACCUACCUGAGUACCACCUGGAUGGGCGUUCCUGGCCCCUCUGGCCCCUGCUCCAGGCUCCGCGCGGGGUCCCUGUGGCCGCAACAUGGGAAAAUGGAAGAAGAGAGAGGGGGCAGGGGAAGCAGUGUUAAGGGGAAAGCAGCUGUGAAUGGUGGGACCGAGUACGACCCUGAACUAUGCACCGGCUGGCGCUGGUCCUGCUGUAAAUGCGCAAGGCUAACCACAAACACUCCACUUCACGAUGUAAGGAUUCAUUUAGGGACUCAUUUAUCAUGGAGAUCAUCAGCUCCUGCCACAAAGCUGCUCUCAAAUGUGCCCAGAAGCCGAGUGACAUUCUCUCAGCCCCUGCCAAGCUGGCCUCUCGGACCCGACCAUCUGCUACAAAUUUAGAAUUCCCGGAGGGUGGGGGACAGGCUCCCCUGGGCCCUGGGAAGCCCAAGUGUCAACGCCCUCUGCUCUUUCUGACGCAUUUCACGGAGGAGGGCUCAUCCCCAUUUGUCAGGUGCAGAGACUGAGGCCCUGGUAGAAGUGGCCCAGCUGGUCUGAGGCUCACCCUGCAUCAGCAUUGGAUGGAGGUGGACCAGAGGUGAGAAGAUGGUGAGGAAGAAAGUUCUUUAAUCACAUGACACACUCAUCUUUCGUUGUUCCUCCUGUAACCAACCCCCCCCCCCCCAGUGGAGGAAAAGCCAGAUGGGUCCAAGGCCUGUUGUGAAAUUUUCCAAACAGUGCUUGAUGUAAUCUUUAAUUAAGAUGUGAAUGUGGGCCAUAGGACUCAUUCCACAAAAGUCUCCAAAGCGGGGACCUUCAGAGGUUAUUGAAUUGACUUCUGUCUGGCCCCCUACCCCAGGUACAGAUGGGAAGACGGAAGAGGGGGCCAGUAUAGGCACUGUGAGGAACGGUGAUUUUUAGAUCGAGGUACAGAGACUCACAGUAACCCCCCCCGGCACCCGCGGGCCACCACUCUCUCCCCUUAAAUACCUGUCUCCUCUCCUCCGAAACUUCACAUGAGGGUCCAGCAAGAGGAAAUAAAGCCCCCGGAAACCAA